This 339-nucleotide ribosomal RNA is filed under the name uncultured bacterium. Its description in RNAcentral is "bacterial SSU rRNA". It matches the Rfam family "Bacterial small subunit ribosomal RNA", at positions 329 to 665 of the family's 1533-position model. The record is from RNAcentral.
AUCCAGACUCCUACGGGAGGCAGCAGUGAGGAAUAUUGGUCAAUGGGCGUAAGCCUGAACCAGCCAAGUCGCGUGAGGGAUGAAGGAUCUAUGGUUCGUAAACCUCUUUUAUAAGGGAAUAAAGUGCGGGACGCGUCCCGCUUCGCAUGUACCUUAUGAAUAAGGAUCGGCUAACUCCGUGCCAGCAGCCGCGGUAAUACGGAGGAUCCGAGCGUUAUCCGGAUUUAUUGGGUUUAAAGGGUGCGUAGGCGGCUUUUUAAGCCGGCGGGGAAAGUCUGUGGCUCAACCAUAGAUUGGCCGUUGAAGCGGGGGGGCUUGAGUUUGUGUGAGGCAGGCGGA